AAAAACAUGAAAAGGACGAAGAAAAACAAGAAGAAGAAGAAGAAAAAGAAGAAAAUGAUAGCCUACCACCACCAUCACCGCCAGACCACCACCACCACCACCACCACCACCGCCGCUACGAGGAAUGCAAACACACAAGCAUCAUUUUCGUCGGUCUUCCCUUCCUCUCGCCCUUAGAGGUAGCAGAGAGGAGGAACCUAGCGUACCCCUUCAAGUCCCUCGUGGCCAGAGACAGCACGGGCGCCCUCACGAGUGGUCUGUACUUUCCUGUCACCCACGCAGCCUCCGCCAGCCUCACCCUCUUCACUAAGGAAACAGGGAAAAAGAAGAUUCCACUCACUUACUUCAUGAGAAAAGAAGAAGAA
Portunus trituberculatus (swimming crab) is the source of this 365-nucleotide long non-coding RNA. RefSeq lists it as uncharacterized. NCBI's taxonomy places the organism in Eukaryota, Metazoa, Arthropoda, Malacostraca, Decapoda, Portunidae. The transcript is spliced from 2 exons. The record is from RefSeq and is a predicted model, not a curated record.